RNAcentral lists this ribosomal RNA (497 nucleotides) under uncultured bacterium. RNAcentral describes it as "partial 16S ribosomal RNA". It matches the Rfam family "Bacterial small subunit ribosomal RNA", at positions 28 to 507 of the family's 1533-position model. The record is from RNAcentral.
GAUGAACGCUGGCGGCGUGCCUAAUACAUGCAAGUCGAGCGAACAGACGAGGAGCUUGCUCCUGUGACGUUAGCGGCGGACGGGUGAGUAACACGUGGAUAACCUACCUAUAAGACUGGGAUAACUUCGGGAAACCGGAGCUAAUACCGGAUAAUAUAUUGAACCGCAUGGUUCAAUAGUGAAAGACGGUUUUGCUGUCACUUAUAGAUGGAUCCGCGCCGCAUUAGCUAGUUGGUAAGGUAACGGCUUACCAAGGCGACGAUGCGUAGCCGACCUGAGAGGGUGAUCGGCCACACUGGAACUGAGACACGGUCCAGACUCCUACGGGAGGACGCAGUAGGGAAUCUUCCGCAAUGGGCGAAAGCCUGACGGAGCAACGCCGCGUGAGUGAUGAAGGUCUUCGGAUCGUAAAACUCUGUUAUUAGGGAAGAACAAAUGUGUAAGUAACUAUGCACGUCUUGACGGUACCGAAUCAGAAAGCCACGGCUAACUACGUG